RNAcentral lists this unclassified non-coding RNA (337 nucleotides) under Hevea brasiliensis (rubber tree). The record is from RNAcentral. Lineage: Eukaryota; Viridiplantae; Streptophyta; Magnoliopsida; Malpighiales; Euphorbiaceae.
GGUCCAAGUAAGCAAAUUCGAAAUUGAGAAAGGUCUUUCAGAAAGACUCGAACUUUGAGCUCCCUGCAGCAUUCAAAACCCAUAAAUUCACAGCCAAUUCUUUGUUACCCAAGCGAAAAUUCAAUCUUCAACGCUCCAAAAGACGGACAACAGGUGCUUCAAAACUGCAAUUUUGAGCCCUCAUAACGAUUUUGAGAAGGUACGUUGAGUACUUCAAAUUUGGAGUAGUAAUCUUUUUGAGAGAUAUAGGGAUUAGUUUUACGAGAAAUUUGAGGUUUAAAAGAGAAAUUUGAGUGAGAAUUCAGAAACAGAUAUUUGAUUGAGCGAGGAGAAAACG